This 208-nucleotide unclassified non-coding RNA is filed under the name Hevea brasiliensis (rubber tree). The record is from RNAcentral. Lineage: Eukaryota; Viridiplantae; Streptophyta; Magnoliopsida; Malpighiales; Euphorbiaceae.
GUUGAGGCCUUAUUGGCAUUAAUUCCUGGGAUAACUGGACAAUUUUAAGCUCCAAUAUUUAUCUUAAUUGUACUUUGCUUUUGCACAAUUCUCUCUCACCUUCUCCAAGAUUAAUAACUUAAUGUAGUCAUUACUUAAGGAAUGGGUGGCUGUGUUUGUUAGUACACUUUGUCCCCAUGUGUGCCAAAGUUACACCUCUUUGAUCAAC